Molecule: ribosomal RNA, 1256 nt
Filed under: metagenome
Description: bacterial LSU rRNA
Rfam family: Bacterial large subunit ribosomal RNA
Source: RNAcentral
GCGCGUGAGAGAACGCUGGUUAAGGAACUCGGCAAAUUGACACCGUAACUUCGGGAGAAGGUGUGCCCUUUGACGUGUAGGACUUCGCGUCUGAAGCGUUGGGGGGUUGCAGAGAAACGGGGGUUGCGACUGUUUACUAAAAACACAGGACUCUGCGAACUCGCAAGAGGACGUAUAGGGUCUGACGCCUGCCCGGUGCUGGAAGGUUAAGGGGAGUUGUCAGCGCAAGCGAAGCAACGAACCGAAGCCCCAGUAAACGGCGGCCGUAACAAUAACGGUCCUAAGGUAGCGAAAUUCCUUGUCGGGUAAGUUCCGACCUGCACGAAUGGCGUAACGACAUCCCCACUGUCUCGACCAGCGACUCAGCGAAAUUGUAAUCGCGGUGAAGAUACCGUGUACCCGCGGCAAGACGGAAAGACCCCAUGAACCUUUACUGCAACUUGACAGUGAAGCUCGGGACAGACUGCGUAGGAUAGGUGGGAGGCUGUGAAGCCGGGAUUCUGGUCUCGGCAGAGCCAACCUUGAAAUACCACCCUGUUUGUUCUGGGCUUCUAACCCAGGCGUGUAAGCCACGCCGGGGACACUGUCUGGUGGGCAGUUUGACUGGGGCGGUCGCCUCCCAAAAAGUAACGGAGGCGCGCGAAGGUUCCCUCAGGCUGAUUGGAAACCAGCCGUAGAGUGUAAUGGCAUAAGGGAGCUUGACUGUGAGACCGACAGGUCGAGCAGGUGCGAAAGCAGGUCAUAGUGAUCCGGCAGUUCUGUAUGGAAGGGCUGUCGCUCAUCGGACAAAAGGUACUCUGGGGAUAACAGGCUGAUCGCGCCUGAGAGUUCAUAUCGGCGGCGCGGUUUGGCACCUCGAUGUCGGCUCAUCGCAUCCUGGGGCUGGAGCAGGUCCCAAGGGUUUGGCUGUUCGCCAAUUAAGGCGGUACGCGAGCUGGUUUUAGAACGUCGUGAGACAGUUCGGUCCCUAUCUGCCGUGGGCGCAGGAUACUUGAGAGGGUCUAACCAUAGUACGAGAGGACCUGGUUGGACGUACCUCUGGUGAUCCGGUUGUUCCGCCUGGAGCAUCGCCGGGUAGCUAUGUACGGAAUGGAUAACCACUGAAAGCAUCUAAGUGGGAAGCCAGCCUCAAGAUGAGGUAUCCCGGGGCGUUAGCCCCCUGAAGGCCCGUCGAAGACUACGACGUAAUAGGCUGGGUGUGGAAGCGCAGCAAUGUGUGGAGCUAACCAGUACUAAUCGGCCGUGAGGCUUGACCG